GACGAACGCUGGCGGCGUGCCUAACACAUGCAAGUCGAACGGUGAACUCCGCUUGCGGGGGGAUCAGUGGCGAACGGGUGAGUAACACGUGGGCAACCUGCCCUCAGCUCUGGGAUAACUCCAAGAAAUUGGGGCUAAUACCGGAUAUGACCGCUGACCGCAUGGUCUGGUGGUGGAAAGAUUUAUCGGCUGGGGAUGGGCCCGCGGCCUAUCAGCUUGUUGGUGGGGUAGUGGCCUACCAAGGCGACGACGGGUAGCCGGCCUGAGAGGGUGACCGGCCACACUGGGACUGAGACACGGCCCAGACUCCUACGGGAGGCAGCAGUGGGGAAUAUUGCGCAAUGGGCGAAAGCCUGACGCAGCGACGCCGCGUGGGGGAUGACGGCCUUCGGGUUGUAAACCUCUUUCAGCAGGGACGAAGCGAAAGUGACGGUACCUGCAGAAGAAGCACCGGCCAACUACGUG
This 465-nucleotide ribosomal RNA is filed under the name uncultured bacterium. Its description in RNAcentral is "partial 16S ribosomal RNA". It matches the Rfam family "Bacterial small subunit ribosomal RNA", at positions 28 to 507 of the family's 1533-position model. The record is from RNAcentral.